RNAcentral lists this ribosomal RNA (408 nucleotides) under uncultured fungus. RNAcentral's name for it is "partial small subunit ribosomal RNA". It matches the Rfam family "Eukaryotic small subunit ribosomal RNA", at positions 30 to 432 of the family's 1831-position model. Lineage: Eukaryota; Fungi. The record is from RNAcentral.
GCUUGUCUCAAAGAUUAAGCCAUGCAUGUCUAAGUAUAAGCAAACUUGUACUGUGAAACUGCGAAUGGCUCAUUAUAUCAGUUAUAGUCUACUCGAUAGUACCUUACUACUUGGAUAACCGUAGUAAUUCUAGAGCUAAUACAUGCGCAAAUACCCAACUGCUUGUCGGACGGGUAGCAUUUAUUAGAUUGAAACCAAACGGCUUCGGCCGUCUCAUUGGUGACUCUGAAUAACUUUGGGCUGAUCGUAUGGCCUUGUGCCGACGACGUUUCCUUCGAAGGUGUGCCCUAUCAACUGUCGACUGUGAUAUAGACGCUCACAGUGGUUUUGACGGGUAACGGGGAAUCAGGGUUCGAUUCCGGAGAGGGAGCCUUAAAAACGGCUACCACAUCCAAGGAAGGCAGCAGG